GCAAGUCGAGCGGUACAGAGAGUAGCUUGCUACUCUGCUGACGAGCGGCGGACGGGUGAGUAAUGCCUAGGAAUCUGCCUAAUAGUGGGGGAUAACUUGCCGAAAGGUAAGCUAAUACCGCAUACGUCCUACGGGAGAAAGGAGGGGACCUUCGGGCCUUUCGCUAUUAGAUGAGCCUAGGUCGGAUUAGUUAGUUGGUGAGGUAAUGGCUCACCAAGACCGCGAUCCGUAACUGGUCUGAGAGGAUGAUCAGUCACACUGGAACUGAGACACGGUCCAGACUCCUACGGGAGGCAGCAGUGGGGAAUAUUGGACAAUGGGGGAAACCCUGAUCCAGCCAUGCCGCGUGUGUGAAGAAGGUCUUAGGAUUGUAAAGCACUUUAAGUUGGGAGGAAGGGUUGUUGAUUAAUAUUCGGCUGUUUUGACGUUACCGACAGAAUAAGCACCGGCUAACUUCGUGCCAGCAGCCGCGGUAAUACGAAGGGUGCAAGCGUUAAUCGGAAUUACUGGGCGUAAAGCGCGCGUAGGUGGUUCGUUAAGUUAGGAGUGAAAGCCCCGGGCUCAACCUGGGAAUUGCUUCUAAAACUGGCGAGCUAGAGUAUGGUAGAGGGUGGUGGAAUUUCCUGUGUAGCGGUGAAAUGCGUAGAUAUAGGAAGGAACAUCAGUGGCGAAGGCGACCACCUGGACUAAUACUGACACUGAGGUGCGAAAGCGUGNGGAGCAAACAGGAUUAGAUACCCUGGUAGUCCACGCCGUAAACGAUGUCAACUAGUUGUUGGGUUCCUUGAGGACUUAGUAACGCAGCUAACGCAUUAAGUUGACCGCCUGGGGAGUACGGCCGCAA
RNAcentral lists this ribosomal RNA (844 nucleotides) under Pseudomonas sp. ARMY. RNAcentral describes it as "bacterial SSU rRNA". It matches the Rfam family "Bacterial small subunit ribosomal RNA", at positions 57 to 891 of the family's 1533-position model. The record is from RNAcentral. Lineage: Bacteria; Pseudomonadati; Pseudomonadota; Gammaproteobacteria; Pseudomonadales; Pseudomonadaceae.